UGUGUGUGUGUGUGUGUGUGUGUGUGUGUGUGUGUGUGUGUUUUUUGACAAUGCCACGCAGACGCAGACACGCCGCUCGCCCCGUUCGUAGACGUAGGAGGACUCACAGGUCCUCCCAUGUCCACAGACGGAGGAGAGUUGUCCGACGCAGACGCUAGGCAACACUAAUAAACAUGCAUUUUUAGGGCCCGGACAAGUGAAUAAAAAAAAUAAAAAAAGAUAUGAAUUGUCC
This is a long non-coding RNA of Sander lucioperca (pikeperch), 232 nucleotides long. RefSeq lists it as uncharacterized. NCBI's taxonomy places the organism in Eukaryota, Metazoa, Chordata, Actinopteri, Perciformes, Percidae. The transcript is spliced from 3 exons. The record is from RefSeq and is a predicted model, not a curated record.